RNAcentral lists this ribosomal RNA (771 nucleotides) under uncultured bacterium. RNAcentral describes it as "bacterial SSU rRNA". It matches the Rfam family "Bacterial small subunit ribosomal RNA", at positions 8 to 796 of the family's 1533-position model. The record is from RNAcentral.
AGAGUUUGAUCCUGGCUCAGGACGAACGCUGGCGGCGUGCUUAACACAUGCAAGUCAGGGGGUGGGGCAACCCAUCACCGGCGAACGGGUGCGUAACACGUGAGCGACCUGCCCUGGUGUGGGGGAUAGCCGGCCCAACGGCCGGGUAAUACCGCAUACGGCUCCCGGGUGGUACCGGGAAGCGAAACUCGCAAGAGGCGCUGGGAGGGGCUCGCGGCCUAUCAGCUAGUUGGUGCGGUAACGGCGCACCAAGGCGAUGACGGGUAGCUGGUCUGAGAGGAUGGCCAGCCACAUUGGGACUGAGAAACGGCCCAGACUCCUACGGGAGGCAGCAGUGGGGAAUCUUGCGCAAUGGCCGAAAGNNUGACGCAGCGACGCCGCGUGGGGGAUGAAGGCCUUCGGGUUGUAAACCCCUGUUGCUCGGGACGAACACACCUAUUCGUAGGUGCUGACGGUACCGGGUGAGGAAGCACCGGCUAACUCUGUGCCAGCAGCCGCGGUAAUACAGAGGGUGCGAGCGUUGUCCGGAAUCACUGGGCGUAAAGGGCGCGUAGGCGGUCUGGUAAGCGUGUGGUGAAAGCUCGGGGCUCAACCCCGAGUCGGCCGUGCGAACUGCUGGACUGGAGCAUGUCAGAGGCAGGCGGAAUUCCGGGUGUAGCGGUGGAAUGCAGAGAUCCGGAAGAACACCGGUGGCGAAGGCGGCCUGCUGGGACAUGCUGACGCUGAGGCGCGACAGCGUGGNNAGCAAACAGGAUUAGAUACCCGUAGUCC